GGCGAACGGGUGAGUAAUGCGUGACCAACCUGCCCCAUGCUCCGGAAUAGCUCCUGGAAAACGGGUGGUAAUGCCGGAUGUUCCCGCGCCCCGCAUGGGGGUGUGGGGAAAGCUUUUUGCGGCGUGGGGAUGGGGGUCGCGUCCUAUCAGCUUGUUGGCGGGGUGAGGGCCCACCAAGGCUUCGACGGGUAGCCGGCCUGAGAGGGCGACCGGCCACAUUGGGACUGAGAUACGGCCCAGACUCCUACGGGAGGCAGCAGUGGGGAAUAUUGCACAAUGGGCGCAAGCCUGAUGCAGCGACGCCGCGUGCGGGAUGGAGGCCUUCGGGUUGUAAACCGCUUUUGUUUGGGAGCAAGCCCUUCGGGGUGAGUGUACCUUUCGAAUAAGCACCGGCUAACUACGUGCCAGCAGCCGCGGUAAUACGUAGGGUGCGAGCGUUAUCCGGAUUUAUUGGGCGUAAAGGGCUCGUAGGCGGUUCGUCGCGUCCGGUGUGAAAGUCCAUCGCCUAACGGUGGAUCUGCGCCGGGUACGGGCGGGCUGGAGUGCGGUAGGGGAG
This 556-nucleotide ribosomal RNA is filed under the name uncultured bacterium. RNAcentral describes it as "bacterial SSU rRNA". It matches the Rfam family "Bacterial small subunit ribosomal RNA", at positions 97 to 659 of the family's 1533-position model. The record is from RNAcentral.